Heligmosomoides polygyrus is the source of this 71-nucleotide non-coding RNA. NCBI's taxonomy places the organism in Eukaryota, Metazoa, Nematoda, Chromadorea, Rhabditida, Heligmosomidae. The record is from Rfam.
GCGCCGGUGGUGUAAGGCGAACAUCGCUGCCCGGAAAGCAGAAGAUGCGGGUUCGAGUCCCGCCUGGCGCG